This 434-nucleotide ribosomal RNA is filed under the name uncultured bacterium. Its description in RNAcentral is "bacterial SSU rRNA". It matches the Rfam family "Bacterial small subunit ribosomal RNA", at positions 954 to 1392 of the family's 1533-position model. The record is from RNAcentral.
GCAUAACGCGAAGAACCUUACCCACCUUUGACAUGUACGGAAUCCUUUAGAGAUAGAGGAGUGCUCGAAAGAGAGCCGUAACACAGGUGCUGCAUGGCUGUCGUCAGCUCGUGUCGUGAGAUGUUGGGUUAAGUCCCGCAACGAGCGCAACCCUUGCCAUUAGUUGCUACGAAAGGGCACUCUAAUGGGACUGCCGGUGACAAACCGGAGGAAGGUGGGGAUGACGUCGAGUCCUCAUGGCCCUUAUAGGUGGGGCUACACACGUCAUACAAUGGCUGGUACAAAGGGUUGCCAACCCGCGAGGGGGAGCUAAUCCCAUAAAGCCAGUCGUAGUCCGGAUCGCAGUCUGCAACUCGACUGCGUGAAGUCGGAAUCGCUAGUAAUCGUGGAUCAGAAUGUCACGGUGAAUACGUUCCCGGGUCUUGUACACACCG